This 443-nucleotide ribosomal RNA is filed under the name Hyalodon piceicola. Its description in RNAcentral is "LSU rRNA". It matches the Rfam family "Eukaryotic large subunit ribosomal RNA", at positions 454 to 879 of the family's 3401-position model. The record is from RNAcentral. Lineage: Eukaryota; Fungi; Basidiomycota; Agaricomycetes; Auriculariales; Hyaloriaceae.
GAUCAGCCGGGCUUCUGCCCGGCGCACUUCUCGGUGGAUGGGCCAGCAUCGAUUUGGCUGCCGGAAAAGGGUGAGGGGAAGGUGGCACCUCCGGGUGUGUUAUAGCCCCUUGUCGUAUACGGUGGCUGGGAUCGAGGUUCGCAGCACGCCUUUAUGGUCGGGGUUCGCCCACGCCACGUGCUUAGGAUGCUGGCGUAAUGGCUUUAAACGACCCGUCUUGAAACACGGACCAAGGAGUCUAACAUGCCUGCGAGUGUUUGGGUGGAAAACCCAGGCGCGGAAUGAAAGUGAAAGGUUGGGACUCCCCUAAACAAGGAGGCACCGACGCCCGAUCCUGACCUUCUGUGACGGAUUUGAGGCAGAGCAUGUAUGUUGGGACCCGAAAGAUGGUGAACUAUGCCUGAAUAGGGCGAAGCCAGAGGAAACUCUGGUGGAGGCUCGUA